RNAcentral lists this ribosomal RNA (408 nucleotides) under uncultured bacterium. RNAcentral's name for it is "bacterial SSU rRNA". It matches the Rfam family "Bacterial small subunit ribosomal RNA", at positions 94 to 518 of the family's 1533-position model. The record is from RNAcentral.
AGUGGCGGACGGGUGAGUAACGCGUGGGUAACCUGCCUCAUACAGGGGGAUAACAGUUAGAAAUGACUGCUAAGACCGCAUAAUAUAGCGAAACCGCAUGAUUUUUGCUAUCAAAUAUUUAUAGGUAUGAGAUGGGCCCGCGUCUGAUUAGCUAGUUGGUGGGGUAAAAGCCUACCAAGGCGACGAUCAGUAGCCGGCUUGAGAGAGUGACCGGCCACAUUGAGACUGAGACACGGCCCAAACUCCUACGGGAGGCAGCAGUGGGGAAUAUUGGACAAUGGGGGAAACCCUGAUCCAGCGACGCCCGCGUGAGUGAAGAAGUAUUUCGGUAUGUAAAGCUCUAUCAGCAGGGAAGAUAAUGACAGUACCUGACUAAGAAGCCCCGGCUAACUACGUGCCAGCAGCAGC